GACGAACGCUGGCGGCGUGCUUAACACAUGCCAGUCGAACGGAAAGGCCCUGCUUUUGUGGGGUGCUCGAGUGGCGAACGGGUGAGUAACACGUGAGUAACCUGCCCUUGACUUUGGGAUAACUUCAGGAAACUGGGGCUAAUACCGGAUAGGAGCUCCUGCUGCAUGGUGGGGGUUGGAAAGUUUCGGCGGUUGGGGAUGGACUCGCGGCUUAUCAGCUUGUUGGUGGGGUAGUGGCUUACCAAGGCUUUGACGGGUAGCCGGCCUGAGAGGGUGACCGGCCACAUUGGGACUGAGGUACGGCCCGGACUCCUACGGGAGGCAGCAGUGGGGAAUAUUGCACAAUGGGCGGAAGCCUGAUGCAGCAACGCCGCGUGCGGGAUGACGGCCUUCGGGUUGUAAACCGCUUUCGCCUGUGACGAAGCGUGAGUGACGGUAAUGGGUAAAGAAGCACCGGCUAACUACGUG
RNAcentral lists this ribosomal RNA (468 nucleotides) under uncultured bacterium. RNAcentral's name for it is "partial 16S ribosomal RNA". It matches the Rfam family "Bacterial small subunit ribosomal RNA", at positions 28 to 507 of the family's 1533-position model. The record is from RNAcentral.